This 253-nucleotide ribosomal RNA is filed under the name uncultured bacterium. Its description in RNAcentral is "partial 16S ribosomal RNA". It matches the Rfam family "Bacterial small subunit ribosomal RNA", at positions 524 to 776 of the family's 1533-position model. The record is from RNAcentral.
UACGUAGGGUGCAAGCGUUGUCCGGAAUUAUUGGGCGUAAAGAGCUCGUAGGCGGUUUGUCGCGUCUGGUGUGAAAAUCCAGGGCUUAACCCUGGACCUGCAUCGGGUACGGGCAGACUAGAGUGCGGUAGGGGAGAUCGGAAUUCCUGGUGUAGCGGUGAAAUGCGCAGAUAUCAGGAGGAACACCGGUGGCGAAGGCGGAUCUCUGGGCAGUAACUGACGCUGAGGAGCGAAAGCGUGGGGAGCGAACAGG